Prionailurus viverrinus (fishing cat) is the source of this 2113-nucleotide long non-coding RNA. RefSeq lists it as uncharacterized. The transcript is spliced from 5 exons. The record is from RefSeq and is a predicted model, not a curated record. NCBI's taxonomy places the organism in Eukaryota, Metazoa, Chordata, Mammalia, Carnivora, Felidae.
UCAAAUCGUGAAAAUCUUCUAUUACCAGGCUCCGGUCACAGUAUGUUUGUUCUAAAAGGAAGUCACCAGCAUUUUAACCCUUGAGACCCACGGACAGCCACACAGCUGUUAUCAGAAGAAAAGGAUUGGGUAGCACAUACUUCAGAGUGUCAGUGUGCUAUUGGAGUAAAACUUUACAUUUUUCCUGAGCUGGCUUAUUCUGAUAUUCUGAAAUCAUAAAAGAUGGAACAUAAGGUGACUUUGCCAACUACCAAUUUCUAUAUACUCAGGAAGGAAGUGAGCAGAAACAUCCUGCUGAGAAAACCUGGAGCUAACACAUGAUCUAUUUCAAAUAGAUCUGUGACACGCUUUUGAUAGAGAGGACUCUUGAACUUACCAUAGCCACACCAGCCUUCAGCAACCACCACUCUGAUCAGUCAGCAGCCGUCAACAUUGAGGCAAGACCUUCCACCAACAAAAAAGUUCCAACCUGGAAUUUUUUUUAGCAAUAAGAGAACUCACUAGAACUGGACGCAUUGAUAACUCAAGAACAUCCUCAAGUAGAAUUUGUUACUUGUAAGUUAGGAAUAUAUUAGGCUCCAAAUACCGACAACAAAACCUUGGAUCAUCGCAGUUUAAAAGGGAGGAUCAUUCACUUACUUACGUCCGUCCAUACUCUCAAAGAUGAAGAUAUAUUCUCUUCACUUCUGCACUAUGCUGUGGAGGCACCAUGUUGCUUCACAUCCACAAGAGAGCUGAAAAAGGAAAGAAGAGCUAUGACCCCCACGUGUAACAUAUCAAAGUGUAAUUGCUUUGGUUUAUUUGUUGAGAUUCCAUGAAUGUUUUAUUUGAUAAAAUAUGAUAGAAAAUUGUUUUAAGAAACCCUAGGCAAAAAGCUUUCUUAGAUCUUUUCCAUCAACAACAUCUUCAAUAGGCUAUGCUUUAGUAUAUUAAUUAGAGGAAAAACAAAGUUGUAUCUCUCUCACAAAUAUAAAGCUUUAGCUUAUUCUAAUUUUGUUUGACAAGAAAUCAUCCCAGGAAACAAUAGAACUGUAUCAUAUGUCAUUUGUACAUGACUUCACUUAUUUUUAGAAAUUUAUUGUUACAAGUGUCAGUGGAUUCUGAGGUAAAUUUUAUAAUUGCAAUAGAAUGUAAGAUUAAUUUCCAUACCUAGAGGAGAGAAAGAAAUAUCCAAAGGAAUAGAGUUGAUUCCACAAAACAUAGGUAAAAUGGUUAAGAUGUCCAAGGCUUCAUAGAUAUGUAAUUAUAUAAUACAUGUGCCAAGAAUGGAAAAAAUAUAUUCAUACAUAAGACUAGAACCCAUAAAAUUAGCAAAAUAUCUAAUAUAACACAAAAUAUAAGAAUGAGAGAACUUAGAUUGGGAGCAAAUAAAGACAUACUUUAUGCAAAUAGGUAGAAAAUUAAGUCAAAAUGAAAGUCUUUAAGCACUGAAAUAUUAUAGAAGUGAUAGAAGUCCAAACUCUCCAUAAGCUUAUAAUAGACCUGUAACAGACAACAAAGGGAUUUUUUUUUUACAUUACUCUAAAAAUGUUAAUUCAUAGUGUAUGUUGUUAGUUACUGGUCUCUUCUAGAAAAAUUCCUUUGUACUAUUGUCUCCCACUCUAAAAAGCCUAUUGUGGUUAAGAGACACAAGACUGACCCAAAGAAAUGUUUUCAAAAUUCUAGAGAAUUCAAACACAUUUAAAGCUCUCACUGUGUACCAUUCUCCAUGCUGAGUAGAGAAAAACAUACAAAAACUAUACCAGGUAUAGUACAUACCAUUGUGAAUCCUUACAAUUAAGUUAGAAAAUUAAAAUAUAGAAAUAUAAAUGGAAAUACCCUUCAAGAUAUUGCUCUACAAUCUGAAAUACUGGAUGCACUCAAUGAAUGUGAGUUCUUAAUUUUCACCAUGUAACAAUAUUAUCCCAAUUUUUCAGACUGCUUGGGUUUGGGGAGUUACUUACAUAGUGUUACACCACAAAUAAGCAGUGUCAGUGUUUAGACAGUAUCUGUUUUUCUUCACUUAUUGAGAUGAUCAUGUUCUAAACUAUUGUACCAUAAUAUAUCUUAAAUAAUAAAGUUAUUUUAGAUCUUUCUGUUCAUCAAGCUUCUCCCCACCCCCCCACCCCAGCCA